AUUGAACGCUGGCGGCAGGCCUAACACAUGCAAGUCGAGCGGAUGAAGGGAGCUUGCUCCUGGAUUCAGCGGCGGACGGGUGAGUAAUGCCUGGGAAUCUGCCUGGUAGUGGGGGAUAACGUCCGGAAACGGGCGCUAAUACCGCAUACGUCCUGAGGGAGAAAGUGGGGGAUCUUCGGACCUCACGCUAUCAGAUGAGCCUAGGUCGGAUUAGCUAGUUGGUGGGGUAAGGGCCUACCAAGGCGACGAUCCGUAACUGGUCUGAGAGGAUGAUCAGUCACACUGGAACUGAGACACGGUCCAGACUCCUACGGGAGGCAGCAGUGGGGAAUAUUGGACAAUGGGCGAAAGCCUGAUCCAGCCAUGCCGCGUGUGUGAAGAAGGUCUUCGGAUUGUAAAGCACUUUAAGUUGGGAGGAAGGGCAGUAAGUUAAUACCUUGCUGUUUUGACGUUACCAACAGAAUAAGCACCGGCUAACUUCGUG
RNAcentral lists this ribosomal RNA (484 nucleotides) under uncultured bacterium. Its description in RNAcentral is "partial 16S ribosomal RNA". It matches the Rfam family "Bacterial small subunit ribosomal RNA", at positions 30 to 507 of the family's 1533-position model. The record is from RNAcentral.